This is a long non-coding RNA of Crotalus tigris (Tiger rattlesnake), 2776 nucleotides long. RefSeq lists it as uncharacterized. The transcript has 3 exons. NCBI's taxonomy places the organism in Eukaryota, Metazoa, Chordata, Lepidosauria, Squamata, Viperidae. The record is from RefSeq and is a predicted model, not a curated record.
GGAUUACAGUUCCUGGAAUUAGAGUUUCCAUCUGAACAAUUCCCUUCAUCUGACAUUCGUCAAGCCACUCCAUGCAUUUGAAGAAGCUGCAACUCACAAACGCUGCUGCCUUUUAAUAAAUGUUGAUAGCUAGAAAAGCUGCUACCAAGUUUCUCCGCAAUAUUUUGCUACCAUAAAUUAAUCCAGGUCUCCUCCUACAAUUCCAGCUGGUGGCUCUACAGGAAAAAAUAUUAUUGUAAUCAUAAUUUAUAGUCAGUCUGUGGAAUCUUCUUGCAGCAGUUAAGUAUUAUGAUUAUAUACCACAAUGUGAAAGCAUAGGUGCCUUUAGCUGAUGUUGGCCUCCAUACACACCGAGUUCCUCCCAAGAAUCGAGUAUGUCGUAAUUAUCGGCGUAGUCUCUGGGCUGAUCCAAGCAGAGCGGGGCCUUUUGGAAUUGAUAGAUGGAAAUGUUGUCAAUGCCCAGAUUUUCUAAGCGCUGUCCAAGAUUUUGGGGUAUGGCACCCAGUGAGCUGAUAAACCCUGGGACCACCACAGCCAGUUUAUGCCAUGAUCUUUCAAGUCUGAUUUUCUGUGAUGUUCUCCAAUUCUCUGCCAUCCGUUCCACUGGUAUUUGCCACAUCAAUGCUCUACGCUUCCUUCUUUGCAGCCACAGUUCAAUCCGAUGUGCUACGUGCCAAGACUUUAUCAGUUUGUAUUUGGAACUAUUAUUUGUACUUGGUGAGUCUUCUCCAAUCCAAGCCAGCAAUCCCUGCCUGUACGGCCCACCGUUCUGCUAACUCAGACUGACGAAUGCUGAUGAUGGUGAUGAUUAAAUCCCAUCCUGCCUUUGUGUCCUCCUGGCCCUUUGUACCCUGGCAAUCCACAGGGAACCAACUUGAAGGAAGCUGAACUUCCCUUUUGCACUUGGGUUUUUUUCCCCCCAAGCUGUAAAGCCGCAGCACUGAGCAAGCUUGAUCCCAGGAGUUAUUCCCUGUUUGACAGGAAUAGGAAAUGAAAUGGUUCUGCAAAAGCACAAUAAGGCCUGUAAAUCAGUCUGGAUUUUGAGCAUUGGAAAGACAGGAUGGGACACUUUUUAAGUAUAAACAACUACACCCGUUUGCUCUGCCUUUUCUAGUUGCUACUGAAAUAUCUCCAGCCUCUGAAUUUACCUUCCCUCCUACUUCAUCAAGAUCCUUGCUGGCAUCUUCCAUGGAUGUUACUUCGGGGCAGGCCACGCCAGAGAAGAAAUUCCAGGACAGGGACUAGUUUGAAAUCCCCUGCAAUCAUGCAGAUGUGAUCAAGCUUGAUGGGGAGAGAUGCCAAAGCAAGACAUCCUACAAUUCCGUGGCAACAGUGGGCUGGAUGUGAGUGGAAUGAUGGAGAUGCAAAAUGGCUCAUCAAAUAGCUGCCUUCCAGCUCUGGGUCAAGUGAGAAGACAAAUAUCCUCUACUUGUAAAGUCACCAGUAACGUGUAUCACUAUUUAGAAGAAAAAAUUGCAGCCUUUCCAAAUUCUUUGAUGCAGCUCAGGGACAAUCUUGAAUUUACAGCAUUUUUGUCUUGAAGGAAGCCUGCUUGAGGAGCGCAACUCCUGGAACUGCUGGAAUAUCUUGUCGGCAGGGUUCCUGUACUGUUUUCAUGCAUCCUGUGAAGAUUUGCUCUUGCCGGCAGGGAGAGCCUGUUUAAUCCCUGAAAUAUUUAUAUCUAUUAAUCCAAUCUGGAAUACAAACGAGCAGCGUUAUUAAGGAGGUUUUUAUGGUUGGGUUGUCAAACAAGAUUGUUACAUCUGUUUAAGCAGCAAUUUAAAAGCACUUCAGGCGCUCAAAUCUCUCAUCACCUCUCCCCAAAUUUAUCUUGUGGCAGCCCUCUUUCUUCCAGAUACCGAAGCCACGGUUUGCAGGGUUUAGAGGGGCUGAGGAAAGGGGGCGUAGUCCAAGACUCCUGGAGGGAAGAGGAGAAAGAAGCUUGGCAUGGAAAAAGUGGGGGGAAUCCGGACCCCAGUCCACACACAGUCCACCCCUAGGGGCUGUGAUGGCCUUGAAGUAGGUGCUUUCUCUCCAUUAAAAGGGUGGCGGAGAAGGUCACCUCCAACAUGGUGAACAUUGUAAGGCAGUUGAGUUGGAAACCAAAAUCUCACCAACCAGCAGCAACCAUUUGGGUGGCAAGGCAAGAUCACCUCCCUGGUAAUCCCCUCCCCUCCCGCUGUUGGCUUUGCUGAGAAAAUAUCCAAAGUGAGACAGAGUUGUGUGGGUUGUAGUCUUUAGGAAUAUUUUUACAGAGCUAUUUCCCCCCCCCCCAAAGGACCACCACUGCAGAAUUCACAUGGGGGACAUCAAAAGCGACGGAGGAAAAGGGUGAAAGGUGAUUAAGGAAGGCGAUGGAAGCAAUUUCACUUAUUCGACUAAAAGACCUUGCUGAUUGCGGCUGGAUACUAGAAGCUGCACACCCAUGUCGUUUUCCUAGCCAUAGGAUAGAAAGAGUUGGCACUGGAUAUUCCUGAAGGUUGUGUUUGAGCAUCCUGACAGCAACCCUAACCCUUUCCUAUCACACAAAAGCAGGACAAAGGGGCCCAAUUUUUGAUUAUGGUUCCUUUGAAUCAGUAAGAUGAAAGGAUCCUAAUUGAAAGUUAUGAACUAUCCUCUAAAAUGCUGGUCUAAUGCUGGUUGAGCGACAGACGUGGCAGUCUAGGACUAAGAGAGAGGGCAGCGUCUGUAUCUAAGGGAGGACCAGAACCUGGGUUAUCUCUGCUCCUAGUCCAUCACCUUAACCAUCAUCGCUUGCUCUUAAUUUUGCACACAA